Long non-coding RNA from Theobroma umbraticum, 474 nucleotides. RefSeq lists it as uncharacterized. The record is from RefSeq and is a predicted model, not a curated record. Lineage: Eukaryota; Viridiplantae; Streptophyta; Magnoliopsida; Malvales; Malvaceae.
AAGAUUCAAAGAACUUGAGGCAUGCAUGUAAGUAGAUCUUGUAAUGCAUGGUGAUUUUGAAGCUAAAUAAGCAAUGGUAAUGGUGUCCAUAGAUGAGAGGACGUUGUGAAUCAUAUUUGGAAAUUUAAGCUUGAACCGAGAGCCAAUAUCGUUAAGACUGCCAUGGUUAUGGGGAUCUGGUGGAAUGAAGCUCCCGGAUGUUAUUAUGUGGAAGCGAGCCACAAGUUCUUCAUUUCUAUUACCUACUCGAGAGUGAUAUCUCUUUGGGUUUUCAAUGCGUGUUCUUUCGCAUGAUAAGUGAUCAGCUCGAGUAUAUUGUCCCUACAAACCUUGAUUUGCUACAACGUAGGUAAUGGCAUCUCUUAGACUUUCGCUUUGAGUUGCUCCGCUGCAUAGAGGUUGUGUUGUGUCAAAUAGUCAAACUUAAAAAGAUAAAUAGUCUAUAUGAAAUGUAUGUGCUAAAACCUGAGGUUG